UACGAGGGGGGCGAGCGUUGUUCGGAAUUAUUGGGCGUAAAGGGUGCGUAGGCGGUUCCGCAAGUCCUGUGUGAAAUCUUCGGGCUCAACUCGAAGUCUGCACGGGAAACUGCGGGGCUUGAGUGUGGGAGAGGUGAGUGGAAUUCCCGGUGUAGCGGUGAAAUGCGUAGAUAUCAGGAGGAACACCGGUGGCGAAGGCGGGUCUCUGGGCCGUUACUGACGCUGAGGAGCGAAAGCGUGGGGAGCGAGCAGG
RNAcentral lists this ribosomal RNA (253 nucleotides) under uncultured bacterium. RNAcentral's name for it is "partial 16S ribosomal RNA". It matches the Rfam family "Bacterial small subunit ribosomal RNA", at positions 524 to 776 of the family's 1533-position model. The record is from RNAcentral.